Molecule: ribosomal RNA, 449 nt
Filed under: uncultured bacterium
Lineage: Bacteria
Description: bacterial SSU rRNA
Rfam family: Bacterial small subunit ribosomal RNA
Source: RNAcentral
CGCCUACCAUGCAAGUCGAGCGGGAUUAUAUAUUAGCUUGCUAAUAUAUAUGAGAGCGGCGAACGGGUGAGUAACACGUUGGUACAUGCCCCCAAGUCAGGGAUAGCCUAGUGAAAACUAGAUUAAUACCGGAUAGUCUCUUUGGAGUAAAAAUUUAUUGCUUGGGGAGUGGCCUGCGUUCUAUCAGCUAGUUGGUGAGGUAAAGGCUUACCAAGACUAUGACGGAUAACUGGUCUGAGAGGAUGAUCAGUCACAAUGGAACUGAGACACGGUCCAUACUCUUACGGGAGGCAGCAGUGAGGAAUCUUCCACAAUGGACGAAAGUCUGAUGGAGCGACACCGCGUGAAGGAUGAAGGUCUAACGAUUGUAAACUUCUUUUCUGAAGGAGCAUAAUGAGAGUACUUUAGGAAUAAGGGACGGCUAAAUAUGUGCCAGCAGCCGCGGUAAU